GACGAACGCUGGCGGCGUGCUUAACACAUGCAAGUCGUACGGUAAGGCCCUUUCGGGGGUACACGAGUGGCGAACGGGGGAGUAACACGUGAGUAACCUGCCCACAACUUUGGGAUAACGCUAGGAAACUGGUGCUAAUACUGGAUAUGUGCUCCUGCUGCAUGGUGGGGGUUGGAAAGCUCCGGCGGUUGUGGAUGGACUCGCGGCCUAUCAGCUUGUUGGUGGGGUAGUGGCCUACCAAGGCGGCGACGGGUAGCCGGCCUGAGAGGGUGACCGGCCACAUUGGGACUGAGAGACGGCCCAGACGCCUACGGGAGGCAGCAGUGGGGAAUAUUGCACAAUGGGCGCAAGCCUGAUGCAGCAACGCCGCGUGCGGGAUGACGGCCUUCGGGUUGUAAACCGCUUUCAGCAGGGACGAAGCUUUUUGUGACGGUACCUGCAGAAGAAGCACCGGCUAACUACGUG
Molecule: ribosomal RNA, 465 nt
Filed under: uncultured bacterium
Lineage: Bacteria
Description: partial 16S ribosomal RNA
Rfam family: Bacterial small subunit ribosomal RNA
Source: RNAcentral